Molecule: small RNA, 529 nt
Filed under: Histoplasma ohiense
Lineage: Eukaryota; Fungi; Ascomycota; Eurotiomycetes; Onygenales; Ajellomycetaceae
Description: hypothetical lncRNA
Source: RNAcentral
CCAUCCGAAACAGGUUAAAAACAAGUCUCCUGGUGCUCUUUUUUUUCUGGAAACAUUUCAGCCAUCACUUCACUUCUCUACCAGCUCUCAAUAAACCGUCCGGUCGCACAUCCCUUGCUCGCACAGGACCACGUCCUUGUUAUCUGGUGAUUUUCUGCAAUCCGUGCGAUCAAAAUGCACUCCCAACAUUGCGAGGAGUCGUUUUCAGACUAUUUUAUUCACAAGCAAGAACAAGGGAAUCCACGUGAAGGUAGGGUAGUAGGAAAGCCAACUAGCAUCGUGUCCCUGGCAUAAAAUGCCAAGCGGGCAGAUCGUAUAGCUUCAAUAUGGGAUAUGCAGAUAAAUUUUUGGCACUCAUUGUGAUUGAGGCAUCAUGACAUGACGACUUUGUCCCCUCUUUUGGGCACUGAUAGUAUCUAUCAUAUAUCAUAUUGGUUCGGACAGCUCUUCUGGCACUUUACCCUGACGCGAAAAGAGCCUAUUCAUGAAUAAACUGAGGAGUUGACUUGACGAAACACUCAAGGUGAAA